UACGUAGGGUGCAAGCGUUGUCCGGAAUUAUUGGGCGUAAAGAGCUCGUAGGCGGUCUGUCGCGUCUGCUGUGAAAACCCGGGGCUUAACCCCUGGCUUGCAGUGGAUACGGACAGACUAGAGGUAGGUAGGGGAGAAUGGAAUUCCCGGUGUAGCGGUGAAAUGCGCAGAUAUCGGGAGGAACACCGGUGGCGAAGGCGGUUCUCUGGGCCUUACCUGACGCUGAGGAGCGAAAGCGUGGGGAGCGAACAGG
RNAcentral lists this ribosomal RNA (253 nucleotides) under uncultured bacterium. RNAcentral's name for it is "partial 16S ribosomal RNA". It matches the Rfam family "Bacterial small subunit ribosomal RNA", at positions 524 to 776 of the family's 1533-position model. The record is from RNAcentral.